GGCUGAAUGGUCUAGUGGUAUGAUUCUCGCUUUGGGUCUAGUACUUGCCUGCUUGCGAGAGGCCCCGGGUUCAAAUCCCGGUUCAGCCC
Molecule: non-coding RNA, 89 nt
Organism: Lophiostoma macrostomum CBS 122681
Lineage: Eukaryota; Fungi; Ascomycota; Dothideomycetes; Pleosporales; Lophiostomataceae
Source: the annotation of a GenBank genome assembly